CUGGAAAUGUUCAAAAAAUUUAGAGUCAAAAGGGCUAAUUGUAACUGCCUAUGGGGCGUGGUAUACUCCUUACUGCUUCCCCCUUUCUUUUGUUUUUCCAAUUGUGUCUUAAGAGUCCGAAUGGCCCUUUCUACUGUGGCCUGACCUUGCAAAUUAUAGGGUAUUCCUGUAGUGUGUACAAAUUUCCAUUGCUGAACAAAACUUUCAAAAGUUUUACUGCAAUAUCCUUGUCCGUUGUCCGUUUUCAUUUUCUGUGGCACACUCUUACCCAAUAAGUUGCUUUUCCUUUGCUAUCAGUGCUGCCGAAACCACCUUCUCUUUUUACUGUACUUUCUCCUACU
This 341-nucleotide long non-coding RNA is filed under the name Homo sapiens (human). RNAcentral describes it as "non-protein coding lnc-PCM1-5:1". The record is from RNAcentral. Lineage: Eukaryota; Metazoa; Chordata; Mammalia; Primates; Hominidae.